This 67-nucleotide transfer RNA is filed under the name Mycomya sp. WQY006. RNAcentral describes it as "tRNA-Ser". Lineage: Eukaryota; Metazoa; Arthropoda; Insecta; Diptera; Mycetophilidae. The record is from RNAcentral.
AGUUUAUGAACUUGAAUAAGUAUAUGUUUUGAAAACAUAAUAUAGAAAUUAAAUUUUCUAUAAACUU